RNAcentral lists this non-coding RNA (229 nucleotides) under Desulfuromonadales bacterium. RNAcentral's name for it is "T-box sequence". It matches the Rfam family "T-box leader". From Rfam's summary of the family: Uncharged tRNA acts as the effector for transcription antitermination of genes in the T-box leader family. T-boxes are found upstream of many aminoacyl-tRNA synthetase genes and some amino acid biosynthetic genes usually in Gram-positive bacteria. The anticodon of a specific tRNA base pairs to a specifier sequence within the T-box motif, and the NCCA acceptor tail of the tRNA base pairs to a conserved bulge in the T-box antiterminator hairpin. The record is from RNAcentral. Lineage: Bacteria; Pseudomonadati; Thermodesulfobacteriota; Desulfuromonadia; Desulfuromonadales.
GUAAAGGUGUUGAAGAGGAGUAGUAAGCCUAUUACCUGUUGCAGAGAGCCGGCGGUUGCUGCAAGCCGGUACAGGUAAGGUUGAACUCGCCUCGGAGCCGCCUUGGUGAAGCGGAUGCUUUGAAAAAGGCCGUUAGCCAAGGACGUCAGCCCGCGUAAAGGGUUAAAGAAGGGCCGCUACGGCGGCUGAAUCAGGGUGGUACCGCGAAGCUGAAGCUCUCGCCCCUGUU